RNAcentral lists this ribosomal RNA (397 nucleotides) under uncultured Sphingobacteriales bacterium. Its description in RNAcentral is "bacterial SSU rRNA". It matches the Rfam family "Bacterial small subunit ribosomal RNA", at positions 982 to 1382 of the family's 1533-position model. The record is from RNAcentral. Lineage: Bacteria; Pseudomonadati; Bacteroidota; Sphingobacteriia; Sphingobacteriales.
CAAAUGUAUGUUGACGUAUUCUGAAAGGGAUACUUCUUCGGACAAUAUACAAGGUGCUGCAUGGUUGUCGUCAGCUCGUGCCGUGAGGUGUCGGGUUAAGUCCCAUAACGAGCGCAACCCCAUCAUUAGUUGCCAUCAGGUUAAGCUGGGGACUCUAAAGGAACUGCCUACGCAAGUAGUGAGGAAGGCGGGGAUGACGUCAAAUCAGCACGGCCCUUACGUCCAGGGCUACACACGUGCUACAAUGGCCGAUACAGAGGGCAGCUACCUGGUGACAGGAUGCAAAUCUCCAAAGUCGGUCUCAGUUCGGAUCGGAGUCUGCAACCCGACUCCGUGAAGUUGGAUUCGCUAGUAAUCGCGCAUCAGCCAUGGCGCGGUGAAUACGUUCCCGGGCCUU